RNAcentral lists this ribosomal RNA (253 nucleotides) under uncultured bacterium. RNAcentral's name for it is "partial 16S ribosomal RNA". It matches the Rfam family "Bacterial small subunit ribosomal RNA", at positions 524 to 776 of the family's 1533-position model. The record is from RNAcentral.
UACGAAGGGUGCAAACGUUGCUCGGAAUUAUUGGGCGUAAAGGGCGCGUAGGCGGUCGGGUAAGUCUGACGUGAAAUCCCUUGGCUCAACCAAGGAACUGCGUCUUAAACUGCCCGGCUUGAGUCCGGGAGAGGGUAGUGGAAUUCCCAGUGUAGCGGUGAAAUGCGUAGAUAUUGGGAGGAACACCGGUGGCGAAGGCGGCUACCUGGACCGGUACUGACGCUGAGGCGCGAAAGCUAGGGUAGCAAACAGG